Anolis carolinensis (green anole) is the source of this 4976-nucleotide long non-coding RNA. The record is from Ensembl. NCBI's taxonomy places the organism in Eukaryota, Metazoa, Chordata, Lepidosauria, Squamata, Anolidae.
GAAUUUGACAUCAUUGUAAUUGGCAUCAUUGUAAUUGGCGGGACUCUGGAUUUUCAAUUUUGUGAGCCUGUAAUGUCUAAUCAAACCGCAAAUCCCAGGAUUUUGUAGAUUGCAGCUAUAGGAGUUGCUGUCGAGAUCCAUCCAACUGUUUAUGAAGUCUGUUUGGCAUGUCUCGGACACCACCAUCAACACGAGCCAGUUUCAGUCCCUAUUCUGUUUUAUGUUGUACCAUUUUGUAUCUACCUAUGCUACUUUAUUAUCUUGGCAUGCAUCUAUCAAGAAUAGCAUCUGUUUGUGCUAUUCUUUGAACUCUGCAGGCUGUGAAGACAUCUGUGUUGGUUGCAUCAAGGAACACGAAGGCAUUGCUUUCCUUGGAAAUAUCAAAUACAGCUGACCAUCAGUGAUGAGACUUUAGACUAUGGAAGUUAUUUGUUCAUGCCAAUACAUGACCUUUAAGAUAAAAGGCAUUCUUAUGACUGAUAUGCACCAUGCUUCAGAAAAAUCUGGCCUCUUGUUCCUGGUCAUCAGAGCUAAGCUGUAGAUGACAGUCCGAACCAAGAGUUGGAAAGCAAGAGUUUUGGGAUGAACCAUCAAUUAGGAGCAAAGAAUAACAACUGGUUGCCAAAACCAUGUUUAAAGAGCAAGACUGAAGUCUGUCACAGAGCAAGGCAGGCAUCUUAGGUGACAGAUUUGGGGAUAUCAUGAACGUGAAGGGGCAACAAAUUAUUAGUUAUUUAAUUUUAUAUUGUCAUAACUUUACUGCUGAAGAUGGGGGGAAUUUUUCACCCCCUUUGCCAAAUAAUACAGCAAAUAAUACAGCAAACACUCUUGACUGUCGCAUCUAUUUGGGCUGACAUUUGGCAAGAUGGAUCUAGACACACUAUCCUUACAAGUGAAGACCUAUCUCUUCUGUCAGGCCUGCCAAGACAGUUUUAAUGAUGAAUUUUAAACUUACACUCUAUGUCUAACUUUUGUUUUGUGCAUUUUAAUAUAUAUAUUGUGGAAUUAUAUUUUAAUAUGUGCAUUCUACAGAGUGUUUUUAAAUGAUUAUGUGUGUCAGUAAUGUUGUAACCCGCCUCAAGCUGUGAGGAGAGGCGGGUAAGAAAUAUAAUAAUAAUAAUAGUAAUAAUAAUAAUAAUAAUAAUAAUAAUAAUAAUAAUAAUAAUCUGUUGAUUCCUGUUUUUCUAUCCUUUUCAUUUCUAUCCUUAUCUGCUACUAAUACGUAUCCAAUUUUCCCUCUUCCCUCUUCCUCCCUCCCUCAUUUCAUAUGUGAAAUACUGGAGAGUAUGUACACAACUGUUUGGAUGAAGAGUGCCGUUUGCCUUAAAUAUCCCAGUUCCUCCUGAGAUUUGGCCCUAUUUGGAAGAGCCCUCAGAGAUCGACUAGAGUGAGCAAAAUCAGCCCAGGGCUUUAACUGAGAAUCUGCCACAAAUAAUUUAGAGGGUUGCCAUGCUGUGAAACUUUACACAGAUCCUGUGCAGUUCCUGAUAUAGCAUAUCACUAUGCCAAUACAGGCUGAGUAUCCCUUAUCAAGAAUUCCAAAAUCCGAAUUACUACGAAGUCUGAAAUGGUUCAUAUAGGUGAUUGAGAGAGUGACAUCUUUACUUUCUAGUGACUUUAUUUCUUGCACAAAAUUAUUUAAAAUGCUAUAUAAAAUUACCUUCAGAUUCUGCAUAUAAGAUGCAUGUGAAACAUAAAAUGAGUUUUUUUGUUUAAACUUGGAUCCCAUCUUCAAGAUAUUUUUCUAUACAUAUAUGCCAAUACAGGUAUUUCAAAAUCUAAACAAAAUCCAAAAUCCAAAUCACUUCCGAUCCAAAGCAUUUUUGAUAAAUGAUACUCAGCCUACACUGCAGUAGAUAUUAAGGACCUCAUCACAUGGAGGUCAAGAAACCGGGGGACAAUGGGGGAAACUGUAGGCCAGCAUAACACUGUGUUCCCUUACUAUUGAGAGAUCUCUUUCCACAACAUUUCCCCACUGUCCCCGGUUUCCUCCUGCUUCCUUCCUUGCUUCUUCUCUGGGAUCCACCUCUCUGCGCUGUCGGCACGCUACCAGCAUGGAGCCAAAUGGAGCACCAUUGGAAGUAGCCCUGCGUCACCUUACAGGCUCCGAGGAACUCGGAGCCGGCAGAGUGCCAGUAGCAUGGAGAAGUGCUGAGAAGACAUUUAUCAACCUCAAUGUGAUGCGUCCAUAAAACAGUGUUUCUGGUGGACUCAUACAACCAAUGCCCUUUUUUCAGAUUUCUGACUUCAACUAUUUUGUCACAUUUUAUCUCAUAACUGUUAGCAUGGGGCAAUCAGUUCUUUGAGCUCAAAGUCUCCAUUCCUUUAACAGGUUGAUGAGGCUAAAACCAAGAAGGUAGGAAACCAAAACAAAACUAUUAAAUAUUAAGGAAAUACGUUCAUUUCAGUAAGAAACAUUACAUUAUUUAAAGAAUGAAUGAUUGUUAUUGUGAAAUUUUUCCUCAAAAAAGCUGCCUAUAAGCAGGCCAUGCAAUUGUAAAUCUUGAGCGAUUAAUCAAUCAUUUGCAAGAACUUUGGCUAAUGAAUCCAAAAAUUCAAAUCUGAUAAAAGUAAAAAUAAUUAGACUGAUAAGCUUGGUUUAAUAUUUCAGAAUAUAUAGUAUUAAUUGUUUAUUUUUCUUAAGUUAUUCAUGCAUGUGUGUAAAAUAUCAUUCAAAUUGACAUCUGAUGCAUAAAUCGCAUUGACUUUUUCAUGUUUGAAUUCAAUGAAUUCUAAAAAAGAAGUAUGAAGUCUUAGUCAAAUAAGAAUUUGUGUUUAUUAGUAGUAUAGAAACCAUAACACGGUAACACCUUUGACUGGAAUCGUGUCUACUUGCGGUUCUUUAUUUAGCUUUUAAUCUCAAAGCUUUUGUAAAUGAUUAUAAAAUAGCAUCUGCUGAAACAAAUCUCCUCACUUUAGGGUUGCCUUUAGAGAACCAGGUGCUGCAUUUGGUGUCAUUUUGUCUGUCGUAAGAGAAGCAUGAAGUUAUUCAUAAAUAAAUGAAUAAGAAAGCUGCUAGCAGAAAGGUUUACAUCCUUUUUCCAAAGAUGAAUGUGCUGAAUGAAAGCUGUGCUGGCAAAAGCUGAGGAUGAGAGAAAAUGAAGCUAGCAGUGUUGCAUGACAAAUACAAGUUUUGGAAAGUUAUUUCUAUUUUCUUGCAUGGAAGAGCCAAUGGUGGCUUCCAAAAUUGACACUUGCACCUGUCUCAUUAACAUAUGUAUAAUAUAACAACAGUUAAAAGUUACUUUAUGAAACCUUUUGAUGAUCUUGCCUUGCCUCCAGUAUAAUACAAGUGGUAUUUCUGCAAUAGUUGGAUAAUUAAUUUAUCCAACUACAGUACAACCCCUUUAUCCAUGGAUUCAAUACCCAUGGUUUAACAUGCUCACAUUCCAGCAACAGCUGAAGACCUUCCUAUUCAAACAAACCUUCAGCAAAGAAAUUUAGGCUGAAGUGAUAAGAAGGUUAAUCUUCACCAGAUGGUAUAAAGUAUAAUAAGAUUUGACAAGACAUCACAAUGAUAUGUCAUUUUUAUUGAUUGCUUAUUUUGUUUUUAUAUUUGUGUUUUUGAUUGUUGGUGAUUUUUUUUGUAUGUUAUUGUAUUUUAACAUGUUGGAAGCCACACUGGGUUCCUUUGUGGGAGAAAAGCAGGAUAUAAAUAAAGAUUUAUUAUUAUUAUUAUUAUUAUUAUUAUUAUUAUUAUUAUUAUCAUCAUCAUCAUCAAAGUAGAUGCAUUCCUGGCCUUAGAUCAGCUGUCAGAAUUUAAAACACAUUUGAAGACCUAUCUCUUCUGGUAGGCCUACCCAGCAAGUUUUAAUGACAAAUUUUAAAUUUGCGUCUUAUGUUUAAUCUUUGUUUAUGUUUAAUCUUUGUUUGGUGUAUCUUAAUAUGUAUUUUGUAGAAAUAUGUUUUAAUAUAUGUAUUUUAUUUUUAUUUUACAGAAUAUUUUUAGAUGAUUGUGUGUUUUAACAAUGUUGUAACCCGCCUCAAAAAUUUGGUACUAGGGCAGAAAUAACAUGGAAAUAAUUGUGAUAUAUUCAUACACCACAAAAAAGAAGUUCGGUAUGGUUCAGCAAACUUUUUAUUUGAAACAAACAAUAUGCCUCUAUCAAAGGAAACUACCAAGUUAGAUAAGUCUCAUACAAGAGAAAAAAAAUAUUUUGAAUUUUCUAGCAACCACUUGUAGGUUUCUUACCAAAUCUUUCAAGGAAUGACUUUGGCUGCUUCUACACUGUUUGAACUGCAUUAUAUGGUCAGUGUAAAACCAGCCUUUGUUUAUUACCACCCUCCACUUUCCUUAGAUUUUUAGUUUUGGUGGGAUAAUUAUUGGAGGAGCUUAUCUGCUCUCCCCUUUUCUCUCUAUUUUGUUGUUCACUUUUGUUCAGUAAAUUAUUUUGAGGACUGUUGCUGUUUACCUUGUCUGAUGUAGGUAGGUGCAUUCAGGCUAGAGUAGACUCUCGUUCUUUCCCAACUUAGGCAGGAUUUAUUUCAUUGUUUACUGCAGGGAAGCAAAAUAUACAUGAUUGUGAUAUAAUAAAAACACACAUUGCAAUUGUUCUUUUGGCCCUAGUUCCUCUGCUACUCUUUACAACACUGCUUCUUGAAAACUGGAGAUGGCGUGUGUAGAAGAAAGAAUUUAUGUAGAUGUUGCUUGCAAGGCCACCACAUAACAAGCAAUACCUUCUGAAAUAUUCCUUUAAAUUGUAAUCCACCUUGUGUCCCAGUUUUGGGGGAAAGGCAAUUACAAAUAAAUAUAAAUAGGAUCAUCUUCAAAGAUACAUGACCUGUCUCCAGUUUUCAAGCCGGCAACCCUAGUUUCUGUUGACAGAGAUUCAACCCUUGGAAAGCAAUAUGGUUACUUGAACUCCUCAACUCCAUUUUAACUGCCUGCUGACUCAGACUGAUAGUCAAACCUUAGGGGAACUCACUGUUAUUACAGUCUCAGUCUCAGUGUAAAUAUCACGAGAAGGUAAUGUACA